AUUUCACUGCAAAAGUUGGUGGGUGCACUAGGAAGACCAUCUGCGACUCAUUUCCAUUUAGAAAUGCAUUGUGACUACGUGUUGUGGAAUGUCGUACUAUUUGUCGUUAUGGUUGCCACAAGUACAGGU
Molecule: long non-coding RNA, 129 nt
Organism: Rhipicephalus microplus (southern cattle tick)
Lineage: Eukaryota; Metazoa; Arthropoda; Arachnida; Ixodida; Ixodidae
Source: RefSeq, a predicted model, not a curated record